AUUGAACGCUGGCGGCAGGCCUAACACAUGCAAGUCGAGCGGAUGAAGGGAGCUUGCUCCUGGAUUCAGCGGCGGACGGGUGAGGAAUGCCUAGGAAUCUGCCUGGUAGUGGGGGAUAACGUCCGGAAACGGGCGCUAAUACCGCAUACGUCCUGAGGGAGAAAGUGGGGGAUCUUCGGACCUCACGCUAUCAGAUGAGCCUAGGUCGGAUUAGCUAGUUGGUGGGGUAAAGGCCUACCAAGGCGACGAUCCGUAACUGGUCUGAGAGGAUGAUCAGUCACACUGGAACUGAGACAGGGUCCAGACUCCUACGGGAGGCAGCAGUGGGGAAUAUUGGACGAUGGGCGAAAGCCUGAUCCAGCCAUGCCGCGUGUGUGAAGAAGGUCUUCGGAUUGUAAAGCACUUUAAGUUGGGAGGAAGGGCAGUAAGUUAAUACCUUGCUGUUUUGACGGUACCAACAGAAUAAGCACCGGCUAACUUCGUG
RNAcentral lists this ribosomal RNA (484 nucleotides) under uncultured bacterium. Its description in RNAcentral is "partial 16S ribosomal RNA". It matches the Rfam family "Bacterial small subunit ribosomal RNA", at positions 30 to 507 of the family's 1533-position model. The record is from RNAcentral.